GGCGAUUUAUAUACAAGUUUGCAUGGAUGAUUGUGUCAAUUCCAUUUUCAAUAUUAUUGAAAUUUAUUAAAGAAUAAAGUUUAUAGCCACGUAUAAGAUAAUAAGCAUGGGAAAGUGCCUGUGUUCUUGAACAGGCAUAUCCCCAUCUUGCCUUUGAAUUUCAGUCUAUUGAUUUAACAACAUUUUGAAACUAAUGUUAACAACUUAAAGUUGAACAAAAGACACAAUCAAGAAUCUUUC
This 240-nucleotide unclassified non-coding RNA is filed under the name Hevea brasiliensis (rubber tree). The record is from RNAcentral. Lineage: Eukaryota; Viridiplantae; Streptophyta; Magnoliopsida; Malpighiales; Euphorbiaceae.